ACGUCCUUGAACGACGGAAACUGCGAACGGCUCAUUAAAUCAGUUGCGAUCUACUCGGCGUUCCGCGCCGCGGAUAACCGUAGUAAUUCUAGGGCUAAUACGUGCGAAGCCGCCGAAGCCGCGAGGCGACGGGCGUUCUCGCCGGAUGUAGGAACCGACCCGGGGACCGCCGGGGGCAACCCCGGCGCCCCCCGAGACGGGGCGAACCACGGUGAAAUGACGGAUCGUCGGCCCCGCGCCGGCGACUCGCCGAAUGAGUUUCUGACCUAUCAACUCGAGACGGCGGGGUAGAGGCCCGCCGCGGUAACGACGGGUAACGGGGAAUCAGGGUUCGAUUCCGGAGAGGGAGCCCGAGAAACGGCUACCACUUCCAAGGAAGGCAGCAGGCGCGCAACUUACCCUAAUCUCGAUUCGAGGAGGUAGUGACAAGAAAUACCGAUGCGGG
This 445-nucleotide ribosomal RNA is filed under the name uncultured eukaryote. RNAcentral's name for it is "bacterial SSU rRNA". It matches the Rfam family "Eukaryotic small subunit ribosomal RNA", at positions 68 to 489 of the family's 1831-position model. The record is from RNAcentral.